Molecule: ribosomal RNA, 1358 nt
Filed under: uncultured prokaryote
Description: partial 16S ribosomal RNA
Rfam family: Bacterial small subunit ribosomal RNA
Source: RNAcentral
GGACGAACGCUGGCGGCGUGCCUAAUACAUGCAAGUCGAGCGAGGGACUUCGGUCCCUAGCGGCGAACGGGUGAGUAACGCGUGGGCAACCUGGCCUUAAGCCUGGGAUAACACCGGGAAACCGGUGCUAACACCAGAUAAUCUUCUUUCUCGCAUGAGGGAGAAGUAAAAGUUAACACUUAAGGAUGGGCCCGCGGUGCAUUAGCUAGUUGGUGGGGUAACGGCCUACCAAGGCUUCGAUGGAUAGCCGACCUGAGAGGGUGACCGGCCACACUGGGACUGAGAUACGGCCCAGACUCCUACGGGAGGCAGCAGUAGGGAAUAUUGCGCAAUGGGCGAAAGCCUGACGCAGCAACGCCGCGUGGGUGACGAAGCUCCUUGGAGUGUAAAACCCUGUCAGUAGGGAAGAACCGGUCGUGGAGGUAAUGCCACGGCCCUGACGGUACCUGCAGAGGAAGUUCCGGCUAACUCCGUGCCAGCAGCCGCGGUAACACGGGGGGAACGAGCGUUGUUCGGAUUUACUGGGCGUAAAGGGUGCGUAGGCGGGCCAGUCAGUCGGGUGUGAAAACUUACGGCUUAACCGUGGGCUUGCAUUCGAAACUGCUGGUCUUGAGUACGGGAGAGGGAAGUGGAAUUCCUGGUGUAGCGGUGAAAUGCGUAGAUAUCAGGAGGAACACCGGUGGCGAAGGCGGCUUCCUGGACCGAUACUGACGCUGAGGCACGAAGGCCGGGGGAGCAAACAGGAUUAGAUACCCUGGUAGUCCCGGCAGUAAACGAUGGGUACUAGGUGUCGGAGGUAUUGACCCCUCCGGUGCCGCAGUUAACACAUUAAGUACCCCGCCUGGGGAGUACGACCGCAAGGUUGAAACUCAAAGGAAUUGACGGGGGCCCGCACAAGCGGUGGAGUAUGUGGUUUAAUUCGACGCAACGCGAAGAACCUUACCUGGGCUUGACAUGCUGUAGCCAGGGUUAGAGAUAACCCCUCGUCUUCGGACGUUUCUGCACAGGUGCUGCAUGGCUGUCGUCAGCUCGUGCCGUGAGGUGUUGGGUUAAGUCCCGCAACGAGCGCAACCCCUGUCCUCAGUUGCCAUCGGGUCAUGCCGGGAACUCCGGGGAGACUGCCUCGGUCAACGGGGAGGAAGGUGGGGACGACGUCAAGUCAUCAUGGCCCUUACGCCCAGGGCUACACACGUAAUACAAUGGUCGGUACAGAGGGUCGCAAGACCGCGAGGUGGAGCCAAUCCCUAAAACCGGCCUCAGUUCAGAUUGGAGUCUGCAACUCGACUCCAUGAAGGCGGAAUCGCUAGUAAUCGCAGAUCAGCACGCUGCGGUGAAUACGUUCCCGGGCCUUCACUCAC